AGAGUUUGAUCCUGGCUCAGGAUGAACGCUGGCGGCGUGCCUAACACAUGCAAGUCGAGCGAUUCUCUUCGGAGAAGAGCGGCGGACGGGUGAGUAACGCGUGGGUAACCUGCCCUGUACACACGGAUAACAUACCGAAAGGUAUGCUAAUACGAGAUAAUAUACUUUUAUCGCAUGGUAGAAGUAUCAAAGCUCCGGCGGUACAGGGAUGGACCCGCGUCUGAUUAGCUAGUUGGUAAGGUAACGGCUUACCAAGGCGACGAUCAGUAGCCGACCUGAGAGGGUGAUCGGCCACAUUGGAACUGAGACACGGUCCAAACUCCUACGGGAGGCAGCAGUGGGGAAUAUUGCACAAUGGGCGAAAGCCUGAUGCAGCAACGCCGCGUGAGCGAUGAAGGCCUUCGGGUCGUAAAGCUCUGUCCUCAAGGAAGAUAAUGACGGUACUUGAGGAGGAAGCCCCGGCUAACUACGUGCCAGCAGCCGCGGUAAUACGUAGGGGGCUAGCGUUAUCCGGAAUUACUGGGCGUAAAGGGUGCGUAGGUGGUUUCUUAGGUCAGAGGUGAAAGGCUACGGCUCAACCGUAGUAAGCCUUUGAAACUGGGAAACUUGAGUGCAGGAGAGGAGAGUGGAAUUCCUAGUGUAGCGGUGAAAUGCGUAGAUAUUAGGAGGAACACCAGUUGCGAAGGCGGCUCUCUGGACUGUAACUGACACUGAGGCACGAAAGCGUGGGGAGCAAACAGGAUUAGAUACCCUGGUAGUCCACGCCGUAAACGAUGAGUACUAGCUGUCGGAGGUUACCCCCUUCGGUGGCGCAGCUAACGCAUUAAGUACUCCGCCUGGGAAGUACGCUCGCAAGAGUGAAACUCAAAGGAAUUGACG
Molecule: ribosomal RNA, 879 nt
Filed under: uncultured bacterium
Lineage: Bacteria
Description: bacterial SSU rRNA
Rfam family: Bacterial small subunit ribosomal RNA
Source: RNAcentral